This 520-nucleotide unclassified non-coding RNA is filed under the name uncultured Paraglomus. RNAcentral's name for it is "bacterial SSU rRNA". It matches the Rfam family "Eukaryotic small subunit ribosomal RNA", at positions 569 to 1090 of the family's 1831-position model. Lineage: Eukaryota; Fungi; Glomeromycota; Glomeromycetes; Paraglomerales; Paraglomeraceae. The record is from RNAcentral.
AGCAGCCGCGGUAAUUCCAGCUCCAAUAGCGUAUAUUAAAGUUGUUGCAGUUAAAAAGCUCGUAGUUGAACUUCAGGCCUGUCCAGAUGGUCCGCCUUAAUUGGUGUGUACUGUCCUUGGGUGGGUCCUACCUUCUGGCGAAGCGGCAUGGCCUUAAUUGGUUGUGUUGGGGAACCAGGACUUUUACUGUGAAAAAAUUAGAGUGUUCAAAGCAGGCAAAUAUGCUCGAAUACAUUAGCAUGGAAUAAUGGAAUAGGACGAUGGUUCUAUUUUGUUGGUUCUAGGACCGCUGUAAUGAUUAAUAGGGAUAGUUGGGGGCAUUAGUAUUCAAUUGUCAGAGGUGAAAUUCUUGGAUUUAUUGAAGACUAACUACUGCGAAAGCAUUUGCCAAGGAUGUUUUCAUUAAUCAAGAACGAAAGUUAGGGGAUCGAAGACGAUCAGAUACCGUCGUAGUCUUAACCAUAAACUAUGCCGACUAGGAAUCGGGCGAUGUUGACAAAAUGACUCGCUCGGCACCUCA